UUAAGUUCAGCGGGUAUCCCCACCUGAUCCGAGGCCAACCUUGUGAGUAUUCGUUCGGGGCUGCCGCCGCCCGGGGGCCCAAGCGAGGGUUUUGCUACGCUUGAGGCCGGGAGGUGGCGCCUGCGAGUUUCGGGCCCGCCCGCGGGCGGGGCCCAUCACCAAGCGGGGCUUGAGGGUUGAAAUGGCGCUCGAACAGGUGU
RNAcentral lists this unclassified non-coding RNA (200 nucleotides) under fungal sp. Its description in RNAcentral is "partial internal transcribed spacer 2". The record is from RNAcentral. Lineage: Eukaryota; Fungi.